RNAcentral lists this ribosomal RNA (582 nucleotides) under Botryosphaeria dothidea. RNAcentral's name for it is "eukaryotic LSU rRNA". The stretch from base 210 to 363 matches the Rfam family "5.8S ribosomal RNA". Lineage: Eukaryota; Fungi; Ascomycota; Dothideomycetes; Botryosphaeriales; Botryosphaeriaceae. The record is from RNAcentral.
UCCGUAGGUGAACCUGCGGAAGGAUCAUUACCGAGUUGAUUCGGGCUCCGGCCCGAUCCUCCCACCCUUUGUGUACCUACCUCUGUUGCUUUGGCGGGCCGCGGUUCUCCGCGGUCGCCCCCCUCCCCGGGGGGUGGCCAGCGCCCGCCAGAGGACCAUCAAACUCCAGUCAGUAAACGAUGCAGUCUGAAAAACAUUUAAUAAACUAAAACUUUCAACAACGGAUCUCUUGGUUCUGGCAUCGAUGAAGAACGCAGCGAAAUGCGAUAAGUAAUGUGAAUUGCAGAAUUCAGUGAAUCAUCGAAUCUUUGAACGCACAUUGCGCCCUUUGGUAUUCCGAAGGGCAUGCCUGUUCGAGCGUCAUUACAACCCUCAAGCUCUGCUUGGUAUUGGGCACCGUCCUUUGCGGGCGCGCCUCAAAGACCUCGGCGGUGGCGUCUUGCCUCAAGCGUAGUAGAACAUACAUCUCGCUUCGGAGCGCAGGGCGUCGCCCGCCGGACGAACCUUCUGAACUUUUCUCAAGGUUGACCUCGGAUCAGGUAGGGAUACCCGCUGAACUUAAGCAUAUCAAUAAGCGGAGGA